UACGGGGGGGGCAAGCGUUGUUCGGAAUUACUGGGCGUAAAGGGCUUGUAGGUGGCCAACUAAGUCAGACGUGAAAUCCCUCGGCUUAACCGGGGAACUGCGUCUGAUACUGGAUGGCUUGAGUUUGGGAGAGGGAUGCGGAAUUCCAGGUGUAGCGGUGAAAUGCGUAGAUAUCUGGAGGAACACCGGUGGCGAAGGCGGCAUCCUGGACCAAGACUGACGCUGAAAAGCGAAAGCCAGGGGAGCAAACGGG
RNAcentral lists this ribosomal RNA (253 nucleotides) under uncultured bacterium. RNAcentral describes it as "partial 16S ribosomal RNA". It matches the Rfam family "Bacterial small subunit ribosomal RNA", at positions 524 to 776 of the family's 1533-position model. The record is from RNAcentral.